UAUUUUAGACUAACCAGAACACUAAAGUUUCACUAAAAUUAAUUUGUGUAAUAAAUGCAGGUAGGUGUGCACUAAUAUAUUUUCAUGUUAUGUUUUUUCAUACAACAAUGUUGUUUAUUCAUUUUUUCUUUAUUUAGUCACAAAAAAAAAUGAAUAACAAAUGAAUAAUUAGUAUAAACAACAUUUAAAAUAUUUUCUAUUAAUAUGCAUAUACUCAAUACAUUUGUCAUGUUUUUUUUUUUUUAGUUCUUGAAUGUCCAAGAGUCUAUUUGGACUUGGAGGAAAAUUAUAAUUCUGAUGAGUUAUGAAAGAUGUUAACUAAUUUAGAGGUAUUUAUAUAAAUUAUAUUAUAAUAUAGAAACUAUAGUUUUGUAUCAUAGUAAACCCAUCUAUGUUUUGUAUUUAGUUAUCAGGUUCUAGCAUCAAUAUAUAUUUUUGAAUAAGUACUAUAUACAAAUUAUGGAUGAAUUAUGUCAUCCUGAUACAAAUUGAAGGCCUACAAAAAAAAAACAAUAAUAGUCAAUAUUCCCAAGAUAAUCAAUAUUACAAUUUAUAAUUUUCAAAACUCAAAUAGAUUAGGAGAUAAUGUUUAUUAUAAUUAUCUAAUAUAUAUAUAUAUAGAAUAUAUUUAUUAAUAUAUAACUUCCUUCAGACAACUUUGAAUAAAAAAAAAAUUAAACUGACCAAAAUGUUAAAAGAUAAAUAAAGGAUAAUUUAUGGUAAUAAUUUUCCCGGAAUUUUUUAAUUCGAUUUGUUAAAAGUUUGAGGAAGAUUUAAAUGGUUGAACAAAACGUAUACAUCAAUUGCGCUAAAUGAUAAUUUUUGCAUAACAAAAAUAAAAAUUGUAUGCUGUUGAAUGUUUUUGAAUGUCGUUGAAACUUGCAUGGUUAGUUUUUAAUUUUCAAAAAAAGUACAUUGAAAAAUAAGCAAUGUAAUAAAAAUAAGAUAACUGCUUAGAUAUUAUAUAGAAUUUUAUUUAUUUUUUGUAUCUUUGAUUUUAAAUAUUUUUUUCUUUCUCGGCAAUAUUUAUUCUCAUGUAUGAUAUAAGUUAUGAUAUAAAACAUUUACAUGGACAAAAUAUAGAACAAAAAUAUUUCCCAAAUGCUGAGUGAAAUGAUUCGGAGGUAUUUGUAGUUCUUUCACCUGAUAUUACAUGAUGGCCAAAGAUAGUGAAAAAGUUUUAUAUUCAGCAAUUUAUAUAUCAACCAGAUAAUCACAAAAUAUACUAAUUCGGUUUUUUUUGUAUAAGUAUUUAGAAAUCGAUCGGCGAAA
This is a non-coding RNA of Cinara cedri, 1272 nucleotides long. NCBI's taxonomy places the organism in Eukaryota, Metazoa, Arthropoda, Insecta, Hemiptera, Aphididae. The record is from the annotation of a GenBank genome assembly.